UAGCAAGGUUAACCGAAUAGGGGAGCCGAAGGGAAACCGAGUCUUAACUGGGCGUUAAGUUGCAGGGUAUAGACCCGAAACCCGGUGAUCUAGCCAUGGGCAGGUUGAAGGUUGGGUAACACUAACUGGAGGACCGAACCGACUAAUGUUGAAAAAUUAGCGGAUGACUUGUGGCUGGGGGUGAAAGGCCAAUCAAACCGGGAGAUAGCUGGUUCUCCCCGAAAGCUAUUUAGGUAGCGCCUCGUGAAUUCAUCUCCGGGGGUAGAGCACUGUUUCGGCAAGGGGGUCAUCCCGACUUACCAACCCGAUGCAAACUGCGAAUACCGGAGAAUGUUAUCACGGGAGACACACGGCGGGUGCUAACGUCCGUCGUGAAGAGGGAAACAACCCAGACCGCCAGCUAAGGUCCCAAAGUCAUGGUUAAGUGGGAAACGAUGUGGGAAGGCCCAGACAGCCAGGAUGUUGGCUUAGAAGCAGCCAUCAUUUAAAGAAAGCGUAAUAGCUCACUGGUCGAGUCGGCCUGCGCGGAAGAUGUAACGGGGCUAAACCAUGCACCGAAGCUGCGGCAGCGACGCUGAUGCGUUGUUGGGUAGGGGAGCGUUCUGUAAGCCUGUGA
RNAcentral lists this ribosomal RNA (616 nucleotides) under Escherichia coli. RNAcentral's name for it is "partial 23S ribosomal RNA". It matches the Rfam family "Bacterial large subunit ribosomal RNA", at positions 638 to 1253 of the family's 2925-position model. Lineage: Bacteria; Pseudomonadati; Pseudomonadota; Gammaproteobacteria; Enterobacterales; Enterobacteriaceae. The record is from RNAcentral.